Molecule: long non-coding RNA, 353 nt
Filed under: Mus musculus (house mouse)
Lineage: Eukaryota; Metazoa; Chordata; Mammalia; Rodentia; Muridae
Description: long non-coding RNA chr12:111546235-111546588
Source: RNAcentral
GGAAAGUCACUUGUCUCCUGGGUUUCAGAUUCUUUGUUGCAUGGUCCGCCCAUCUCCAUUUGUCAUCAUUUUUUGAGAUUCUCAAGUACAUCAGCACAUUCGGCCUCAGGUUGGCAAGAUUUUUGUCUUAGAGCUGUUGCUUUAAAGGGAAACGGUCAGGUCUUAGACACUUAGGAAGGUCUUGGGCUUCUGUUCAUUCUGGUGCCAAACCAGUGGGAUUCAAAUUUCACACAAUCUGGGUUUUACUCAUGGAGGUUAACCUGAUAGGAAUAAUCCUUCGUUGCUCUAUUGAGGUGUCAUAAAGUUUCCUGUUUCAAACAGCUACAUUACUUGAUUAAAACAAUGUUAAAAUU